This 243-nucleotide ribosomal RNA is filed under the name uncultured bacterium. RNAcentral's name for it is "partial 16S ribosomal RNA". It matches the Rfam family "Bacterial small subunit ribosomal RNA", at positions 524 to 765 of the family's 1533-position model. The record is from RNAcentral.
UACAGGGGGUGCAAACGUUGCUCGGAAUCAUUGGGCGUAAAGCGCACGUAGGCGGUUCGUUAUGUCGGAUGUGAAGGCCCUUGGCUUAACCGAGGAAGUGCAUCCGAAACUGGCGAGCUAGAGUACGAAAGAGGAUCGCGGAAUUCCCGGUGUAGAGGUGAAAUUCGUAGAUAUCGGGAGGAACGACCGGUGGCGAAGGCGGCGAUCUGGGUCGAUACUGACGCUGAGGUGCGAAAGCGUGGG